UACGUAGGGGGCGAGCGUUGUCCGGAAUUAUUGGGCGUAAAGAGCGUGUAGGCGGUUCGGUAAGUCUGCCGUGAAAACCUGGGGCUCAACCCUGGGCGUGCGGUGGAUACUGCCGGGCUAGAGGGUGGUAGAGGCGAGUGGAAUUCCCGGUGUAGCGGUGAAAUGCGUAGAGAUUGGGAAGAACACCGGUGGCGAAAGCGCUCUACUGGACUGCAACUGACACUCAGGGACGAAAGCUAGGGGAGCGAAUGGG
This 253-nucleotide ribosomal RNA is filed under the name uncultured bacterium. Its description in RNAcentral is "partial 16S ribosomal RNA". It matches the Rfam family "Bacterial small subunit ribosomal RNA", at positions 524 to 776 of the family's 1533-position model. The record is from RNAcentral.